UGGGGAAUAUUGGACAAUGGGCGGAAGCCUGAUCCAGCCAUGCCGCGUGUGUGAAGAAGGCCUUUUGGUUGUAAAGCACUUUAAGUGAGGAGGAGGCUACUUGGAUUAAUACUCUAGGAUAGUGGACGUUACUCGCAGAAUAAGCACCGGCUAACUCUGUGCCAGCAGCCGCGGUAAUACAGAGGGUGCGAGCGUUAAUCGGAUUUACUGGGCGUAAAGCGUGCGUAGGCGGCUUCUUAAGUCGGAUGUGAAAUCCCUGAGCUUAACUUAGGAAUUGCAGUCGAUACUGGGAAGCUAGAGUAUGGGAGAGGAUGGUAGAAUUCCAGGUGUAGCGGUGAAAUGCGUAGAGAUCUGGAGGAAUACCGAUGGCGAAGGCAGCCAUCUGGCCUAAUACUGACGCUGAGGUACGAAAGCAUGGGGAGCAAACAGG
Molecule: ribosomal RNA, 430 nt
Filed under: Bacillota bacterium
Lineage: Bacteria; Bacillati; Bacillota
Description: Firmicutes bacterium partial 16S ribosomal RNA
Rfam family: Bacterial small subunit ribosomal RNA
Source: RNAcentral